GGGGGAGGAGUGGGGGAGGGAUGGAGGAAUGGAAAAGGGGGACUUUGUCAGGAGUGUAUUUUCCCUCAUAGUUUUGCUAUUUGUUCCAACCAGAAUUCAUAGUUAUUGUCAGAUGAUUUACAGAUACCCCUCUCCAUCGUUAUUUGAUAUAGCAACUGCUCUUUACCUAGAGGCCAACAUGGUGUCACCACACUUUUCCAGUUUUAGGCUAUCAUAAGUUUUGCUGCAGUCAAAAUGGAUACCUAUAAAAG
This is a non-coding RNA of Pelobates cultripes (western spadefoot toad), 251 nucleotides long. The record is from the annotation of a GenBank genome assembly. Lineage: Eukaryota; Metazoa; Chordata; Amphibia; Anura; Pelobatidae.